RNAcentral lists this ribosomal RNA (506 nucleotides) under uncultured bacterium. RNAcentral describes it as "partial 16S ribosomal RNA". It matches the Rfam family "Bacterial small subunit ribosomal RNA", at positions 28 to 523 of the family's 1533-position model. The record is from RNAcentral.
GAUGAACGCUAGCGGCAGGCCUAACACAUGCAAGUCGAGGGGUAACUAGAGUGAUAGCAAUAUUACUUUGGCUAGACCGGCGCACGGGUGCGUAACACGUAUGCAACCUACCUUAUACUGGGGAAUAACCUCGAGAAAUCGGCGCUAAUACCCCAUAACACUGCGGAGAGGCAUCUCUUUGCAGUUAAAGCUCCGGCGGUAUAAGAUGGGCAUGCGUCCAAUUAGCUAGUUGGUGAGGUAACGGCUCACCAAGGCUACGAUUGGUAGGGGUUCGGAGACGAUAAACCCCCACACUGGUACUGGGACACGGACCAGACUCCUACGGGAGGCAGCAGUGAGGAAUAUUGCGCAAUGGACGAAAGUUUGACGCAGCCAUGCCGCGUGCAGGAUGACGGCCCUAUGGGUUGUAAACUGCUUUUGUACGGGAAUAAACCCUUCUACGUGUAGGAGGCUGAAGGUACCGUAAGAAUAAGCACCGGCUAACUCCGUGCCAGCAGCCGCCGUAA